Molecule: long non-coding RNA, 210 nt
Filed under: Nicotiana benthamiana
Lineage: Eukaryota; Viridiplantae; Streptophyta; Magnoliopsida; Solanales; Solanaceae
Description: long non-coding RNA (NBEN_LNC009035)
Source: RNAcentral
AGAAAUGGUAAAUUUAAUUAAAGCUCUAUUAGUUAGAAAUUCUUUGUCAAACAAGCUCUUUCUUUAAAAAAACUGGAAAGAAUCCUUACUACUAUAUACGAGGGCCACCUAGCUUAGGCUAGUCAUAAUUCGUGAAUACUCCUUCUUUGCCAGGGCUAGCUCCAAUUCUAUUAUAAAAAAAAGUGAAUGGUGCUGCAUCUUCUUAGUGAA